RNAcentral lists this ribosomal RNA (92 nucleotides) under Carlito syrichta (Philippine tarsier). Lineage: Eukaryota; Metazoa; Chordata; Mammalia; Primates; Tarsiidae. The record is from RNAcentral.
GUCUACAGCCAUACCAUCCUGAAGGCACCUGGUCUCAUAUGAUCUCAAAAACUAAGCGGGGUCAGGCCUGGUUUUGACAGGCAUGGUGGCUU